RNAcentral lists this ribosomal RNA (471 nucleotides) under uncultured bacterium. RNAcentral describes it as "bacterial SSU rRNA". It matches the Rfam family "Bacterial small subunit ribosomal RNA", at positions 19 to 518 of the family's 1533-position model. The record is from RNAcentral.
CUGGCUCAGGAUGAAUGCUGGCGGCAUGCCUAAUACAUGCAAGUCGAGCGGUAACAGGACUAGCUUGCUAGUUGCUGACGAGCGGCGGACGGCUGAGUAACGCAUGGGAACGCACCCCAAACUGAGGGAUAACUAGUCGAAAGAUUAGCUAAUACCGCAUGUGAUCUUCGGAUUAAAGCUUUCGGGCGGUUUGGGAGCGGCCUGUGUACGAUUAGCUAGUUGGUGAGGUAAUGGCUCACCAAGGCGACGAUCGUUAGAUGGUUUGAGAGGAUGAUCAUCCAGACUGGAACUGAGACACGGUCCAGACUCCUACGGGAGGCAGCAGUAGGGAAUCUUUCACAAUGGGCGAAAGCCUGAUGGAGCAAUGCCGCGUGCAGGACGAAGGCCUUCGGGUUGUAAACUGCUUUUAUAAGCGAGGAAUAUGACGGUAACUUAUGAAUAAGGAUCGGCUAACUACGUGCCAGCCGCCGC